This 294-nucleotide unclassified non-coding RNA is filed under the name rhizosphere metagenome. RNAcentral's name for it is "partial ribosomal RNA internal transcribed spacer region". The record is from RNAcentral.
GUAGGUGAACCUGCGGAAGGAUCAUUAUUGAAUGAACUUGGCGUGGUUGUUGCUGGUCCUCUCGGGGGCAUGUGCACACCCGUCAUCUUUAUCUUUCCACCUGUGCACGUUUUGUAGGUCCAAAAUUUUUUUCCGAGGCAACUCGUUUGGGGGACUGGCGUUCGUUACUGUCGUCUUUCCCUGGAUUUUAGGCCUAUGUUUUCACAUACACCAUAAGAAUGUAAUAGAAUGUUAUCAAUGGGCUUUAUGCCUAUAAACUAUAUACAACUUUCAGCAACGGAUCUCUUGGCUCUC